RNAcentral lists this long non-coding RNA (523 nucleotides) under Ficedula albicollis (Collared flycatcher). RNAcentral describes it as "lncRNA (ENSFALG00000028296.1)". The record is from RNAcentral. Lineage: Eukaryota; Metazoa; Chordata; Aves; Passeriformes; Muscicapidae.
UGGAGAACUUAUAGUGGCAUAGAAGUAAGUUGCCUGGUGCUUGCACCUCCUGAUACUCCAAUUUUUAUUUCCCCAAAGAGUGGUUGUGUGAUCCAGGGGGCAAGCACCAGCCCCUCCAGUGACCAGACACUUUGCCAAACGGUGCACGUCCCUGCAGAGCUGGUGUCCUAGAGGUAUCUGUCCACUGUAUGGGCCACGGUGAAGGCGUCUGAAUCCCAGGAUGCUCUGGGAGUACCAGUCUCGUGCAUCAGUUGGCCACGGUGAAGGCAUCUGAAUCCCAGGAUGCUCUGGGAGUACCAGUCUCGUGCAUCAAAGGAAAGCUGUCCACUUCGGGACCAUUUACAGAAUUUGUAUCCAUCAGCCCCCUUCCUUAAGCUGUGGGAAGGUCUCUGCCGGUUGAAGAUCUGGAGGAACCCACUUAUAUGGGGCAAUAGUUAAGACUCUGGGACUAAAAUGACAGCUCUAAAACAGUGGCCUGGAAACAGUUAUAUUGAGUAGUGUUGCCAGUACCUGUCAGAAUAUG